GGGGGGGGGGGGGGGGGGGGGGGGGGGGGGGAGGGCGGGGGGGGGGGGGGGGGGGGGGCGCGGGGUGGGUGAGUGGCGAACGGGUGAGUAAUACGUGGGUAACCUGCCCUUGACUCUGGGAUAAGCCUGGGAAACUGGGUCUAAUACUGGAUAUGACAUGCCACUGCAUGGUGGUGUGUGGAAAGGGUUUUACUGGUUUUGGAUGGGCUCACGGCCUAUCAGCUUGUUGGUGGGGUAAUGGCCUACCAAGGCGACGACGGGUAGCCGGCCUGAGAGGGUGACCGGCCACACUGGGACUGAGACACGGCCCAGACUCCUACGGGAGGCAGCAGUGGGGAAUAUUGCACAAUGGGCGGAAGCCUGAUGCAGCGACGCCGCGUGAGGGAUGACGGCCUUCGGGUUGUAAACCUCUUUCAGCACGGAAGAAGCGAGAGUGACGGUACGUGCAGAAGAAGCGCCGGCUAACUACGUG
RNAcentral lists this ribosomal RNA (472 nucleotides) under uncultured bacterium. RNAcentral describes it as "partial 16S ribosomal RNA". The stretch from base 55 to 472 matches the Rfam family "Bacterial small subunit ribosomal RNA", at positions 39 to 507 of the family's 1533-position model. The record is from RNAcentral.